CAUCAACAAUCAACAUAACAGAUAACUACAUUAUGUGAUAUUUUAGAAGUUGAUAGCCUCAUUAAAAAAAGAAAGAAACAGUAGAGCAGAGUAAGGAAGAUAAUAAGAAUCUAGUGGCCAGAAGAGGCAAAUUGUAGUAAUAAAUAAGAAGGUCCAGAUAGGACGCAUUGAGUCAGUGACAUUUGACCAAAAUUUUGAAAGAGAAGAAAUGUUUCACUAAUUGGAUAUCUGCGAGCGGAGCAUUCCAGGCAGAGGGGACUGCAAGAGCAAAGGCGGUUGCUCAGGAGCCUGCUUGCGGAGACAUCAGGAGCAACGUUAGCAAGAAAAAGGAGGAAAGGCAAAUAGGCAUUUACUUUAAGCAUUACAAACUAGCAAAAUGUCCCAACAAUGAAGAAAUACUUACUUUUAAGAAUAAAAUGAAGAAAAUAUGAGAUCUAAGUGAGCAACUGGGAAGUUUACUCCAACAGAUCUGAGUCAACAUUUACAAAUCCCUAUGCUACACUGAAUAGUUCAGAACUUUGGAACUUCAAGACUCUGGUACAUUCAUCAAGAAAAUAUCUCCAUCCAGGUGUCUGGAUGGGCAGUUUGCAGCUCUUCUGCAGUGGGCCAUUUGCAGCUUUUCUCAGGGGAAAGGCUACACUGUGGGGCUUCUUCAAUCUCAACACACAGAAGAGUAACUGCUAUUGAAUUCACAUUUAAAACAUAGCUAUAUUUUCCAAAUCAGUUUUCCAUGCUAUCAUUUUAUUUGCACUUCAUAAAAAUACCAUAAAGUAGAAAGGACUGAAAAGUAUCAUAUUUAACUUAGGAGGGGG
This 812-nucleotide long non-coding RNA is filed under the name Homo sapiens (human). Its description in RNAcentral is "HSALNT0303734". The record is from RNAcentral. Lineage: Eukaryota; Metazoa; Chordata; Mammalia; Primates; Hominidae.